AACGAACGCUGGCGGCAGGCCUAACACAUGCAAGUCGAACGGUAACAGGUCUAGCUUGCUAGAUGCUGACGAGUGGCGGACGGGUGAGUAACGCGUGGGAAUCUGCCUUCUAGUGGGGGAUAGCCCGGAGAAAUCCGGAUUAAUACCGCAUACGCCCUACGGGGAAAGCCGGGGAGUCUUCGGACCUGGCGCUAGUAGAUGAGCCCGCGUGAGAUUAGCUUGUUGGUGGGGUAAUGGCCUACCAAGGCAACGAUCUCUAGCUGGUCUGAGAGGACGAUCAGCCACACUGGGACUGAGACACGGCCCAGACUCCUACGGGAGGCAGCAGUGAGGAAUAUUGGACAAUGGGCGAGAGCCUGAUCCAGCCAUGCCGCGUGCAGGAAGACGGCCCUAUGGGUUGUAAACUGCUUUUUGUACGGGAAGAAACACCCCCUCGUGAGGGGGCUUGACGGUACCGUAAGAAUAAGGAUCGGCUAACUACGUGCCAGCAGCCGCGGUAAAG
Molecule: ribosomal RNA, 502 nt
Filed under: uncultured bacterium
Lineage: Bacteria
Description: bacterial SSU rRNA
Rfam family: Bacterial small subunit ribosomal RNA
Source: RNAcentral